UCUCUCUCUCCGCCGCUCCCUCUCUUCCUCUCUCUCUCUUCCUACCUCUCUCUCUCUUCCUGCUCUGUCUUCUUGCCUUUUUCUUCCUUCACAUAUCUUCCCUUCACUAGUUCAAGUUCAAGCGAGUUUAAGCCUUCAGUCUCAGGAAUUAAAGACUUGGUUUUGGAGCAACCAACGAUUAUUAUUGAUGAGACAACUGAAGUUUCAAAUCUCACAAGUGAAUGAAACACGACCUCCAAGCUUAUUUAAUUUGCAUUGUGGCUUUGUUAUAUUAUUGUACUUUGUAUUUGUAAUUUGUAUGUUUGGAAUUAUGUAACUAAUGACUUCCCCUAAACUUUAGCUUUUAAUUAGCACUUUAAUAUGUUAAAACAGGUUACUAAAAUGUAGCAGGUACUCAAGGAAGUCAAGGGCUACAUUUUACUGCAUUAAUUCUGGAAAAACAUGCAUAAAGCAUAAAAGCAGAA
Long non-coding RNA from Chenopodium quinoa (quinoa), 464 nucleotides. RefSeq lists it as uncharacterized. The transcript is spliced from 2 exons. Lineage: Eukaryota; Viridiplantae; Streptophyta; Magnoliopsida; Caryophyllales; Amaranthaceae. The record is from RefSeq and is a predicted model, not a curated record.